UAGAAUGGAAUGGGUAUACUUGGUGUCCAGU
Molecule: non-coding RNA, 31 nt
Filed under: Mus musculus (house mouse)
Lineage: Eukaryota; Metazoa; Chordata; Mammalia; Rodentia; Muridae
Source: RNAcentral